UACGUAGGUGGCAAGCGUUGUCCGGAAUUAUUGGGCGUAAAGCGCGCGCAGGCGGUCCUUUAAGUCUGAUGUGAAAGCCCACGGCUCAACCGUGGAGGGUCAUUGGAAACUGGGGAACUUGAGUACUGAAGAGGAAAGCGGAAUUCCACGUGUAGCGGUGAAAUGCGUAGAGAUGUGGAGGAACACCAGUGGCGAAGGCGGCUUUCUGGUCAGUAACUGACGCUGAGGCGCGAAAGCGUGGGGAGCAAACAGG
This 253-nucleotide ribosomal RNA is filed under the name uncultured bacterium. RNAcentral describes it as "partial 16S ribosomal RNA". It matches the Rfam family "Bacterial small subunit ribosomal RNA", at positions 524 to 776 of the family's 1533-position model. The record is from RNAcentral.